This 76-nucleotide transfer RNA is filed under the name Cnuibacter physcomitrellae. RNAcentral describes it as "tRNA-Ala". It matches the Rfam family "tRNA". From Rfam's summary of the family: Transfer RNA (tRNA) molecules are approximately 80 nucleotides in length. The record is from RNAcentral. Lineage: Bacteria; Bacillati; Actinomycetota; Actinomycetes; Micrococcales; Microbacteriaceae. RNAcentral also lists the same sequence under 1 other name.
GGGGACGUAGCUCAAUUGGCAGAGCACCUGCUUUGCAAGCAGGGGGUUAGGGGUUCGAUUCCCCUCGUCUCCACCG